GCCAGGUCACUGCGGUCAAUUGCUUCUGUUCUAUUAAAAUAUGUGAUAUCCGCGACUCGGGCACGAGCAAACACGGUAUUAUUGCUUAUUGGCUUGUGGAGUUUCUCCUCGCACGCCGUUCCCCGUCGCCAUGAGUUCUUCUAAGUACGCGGUUUUCGUUUGUCUUGUGAUUUUGACAUUGCCCUUCAACGGCGUGAACGGUGUACGGUGCAACGACUAUGCGUGUAGCGUUCAGUGCCAAAGCCAGUACGGUGACGUGGUAGAGAAUAUCCAAGGGGAAUGCGAACCCGGCAACAAUGAUUAUUGUCGGUGUUAUGGCACGCCUUUGAAAAAUCCACCGUUACCGCCAUCGUACCCCCCCAACGGUCGCGCCGAUCAGAUACAGGUCCGUUGAAAAAAACCGCUCAAGACGACAUCUUUUCUGUUCUCUAGUUCGCCCAGUAUAAGAGCUCAAAGAAGAUUUUGGCGUUUUAUUAGUUAUAAAAUUUUUAAAAAAUGUGUGUGUAAUACAAUACCUACUAAAUACUAUUAGAAAAAUAAUUACUACUUUCCAAUGUUUUGAAAUUGUGACAUUAAUUUUGAGAUUUUCUCGUUGAACUCUGGCAAAGAUGUUUAAGACCAUGUCUUUUGAGAAUGAAUAAAUAACGUUUUUUUAUUA
Adelges cooleyi (spruce gall adelgid) is the source of this 658-nucleotide long non-coding RNA. RefSeq lists it as uncharacterized. Lineage: Eukaryota; Metazoa; Arthropoda; Insecta; Hemiptera; Adelgidae. The transcript is spliced from 2 exons. The record is from RefSeq and is a predicted model, not a curated record.